CCUCAAGGUAACACACACACACUGCUACAUCAUCCUCAAGGUAACACACACACACACACACACUGCUACAUCAUCCUCAAGGUAACACACACACACACACACACACACACACUGCUACAUCAUCCUCAAGGUAACACACACACACACACACACACACACACACACACACACACACACACACACACACACUGCUACAUCAUCCUCAAGGUAACACACACACACACACACACACUGCUACAUCAUCCUCAAGGUAACACACACACACACACACACACACACACACACACUGCUACAUCAUCCUCAAGGUAACACACAC
Molecule: long non-coding RNA, 316 nt
Organism: Oncorhynchus tshawytscha (Chinook salmon)
Lineage: Eukaryota; Metazoa; Chordata; Actinopteri; Salmoniformes; Salmonidae
Source: Ensembl